GUGCUUGCUUCGGCAGCACAUAUACUAAAAUUGGAACGAUAUAGAGAAAAUUAGCAUGGCCCCUGCACAAGGAUGACAUCUAUUUUUAACAUUUUUAUAAAAUUUAA
This 107-nucleotide small nuclear RNA is filed under the name Microcebus murinus (gray mouse lemur). The record is from RNAcentral. Lineage: Eukaryota; Metazoa; Chordata; Mammalia; Primates; Cheirogaleidae.